Molecule: ribosomal RNA, 364 nt
Filed under: uncultured bacterium
Lineage: Bacteria
Description: partial 16S ribosomal RNA
Rfam family: Bacterial small subunit ribosomal RNA
Source: RNAcentral
CCUACGGGAGGCAGCAGUGAGGAAUAUUGGUCAAUGGCCGGAAGGCUGAACCAGCCAUGCCGCGUGAAGGUCAGUGCCCUAUGGGCGUUAAACUUCUUUUGUGCGGGAGCAAUAAUGGUGACGUGUGGCCAGACGAGAGUACCGGACGAAUACGCAUCGGCUAACUCCGUGACAGCAGCCGAGGUAAUACGGGAGAUGCAAGCGUUAUCCGGAUUUGUUGGGGUUAAAGGGUGCGUAGGCUGUGAGGUAAGGCAGCGGUGAAAUGCCCCCGCUCAACGGGGUGAAGUGCAAUUGAUACUGGCUUGCUGGAGUGCGGAUGCGGUGGGAGGAAUGUGUGGUGUAGCGGUGAAAUGCAUAGAUAUCA